RNAcentral lists this ribosomal RNA (253 nucleotides) under uncultured bacterium. Its description in RNAcentral is "partial 16S ribosomal RNA". It matches the Rfam family "Bacterial small subunit ribosomal RNA", at positions 524 to 776 of the family's 1533-position model. The record is from RNAcentral.
GACGUAGGAUGCGAGCGUUGUCCGGAUUUAUUGGGCGUAAAGAGCUCGUAGGCGGUCUGUUACGUCCGCUGUGAAAACCCAGGGCUUAACCCUGGGCUUGCAGUGGAUACGGGCAGACUAGAGGCAGGUAGGGGAGAAUGGAAUUCCCGGUGUAGCGGUGAAAUGCGCAGAUAUCGGGAGGAACACCGGUGGCGAAGGCGGUUCUCUGGGCCUGACCUGACGCUGAGGAGCGAAAGCGUGGGGAGCGAACAGG